This is a non-coding RNA of Acanthosepion pharaonis, 109 nucleotides long. The record is from the annotation of a GenBank genome assembly. NCBI's taxonomy places the organism in Eukaryota, Metazoa, Mollusca, Cephalopoda, Sepiida, Sepiidae.
ACAGCCACAUCAUAGUGAAAUACCGGCUCCUGUAAGAUUACCGAAGUUAAGCUACAUCGAGCCUGGUCAGUACCAAGAUGGGUGACCGUUGGGAAUACCAGUUGCUGUG